This 463-nucleotide ribosomal RNA is filed under the name Streptococcus mutans. Its description in RNAcentral is "bacterial SSU rRNA". It matches the Rfam family "Bacterial small subunit ribosomal RNA", at positions 28 to 468 of the family's 1533-position model. The record is from RNAcentral. Lineage: Bacteria; Bacillati; Bacillota; Bacilli; Lactobacillales; Streptococcaceae.
GACGAACGCUGGCGGCGUGCCUAAUACAUGCAAGUGGGACGCAAGAGGACACACUGUGCUUGCACACCGUGUUUUCUUGAGUCGCGAACGGGUGAGUAACGCGUAGGUAACCUGCCUAUUAGCGGGGGAUAACUAUUGGAAACGAUAGCUAAUACCGCAUAAUAUUAAUUAUUGCAUGAUAAUUGAUUGAAAGAUGCAAGCGCAUCACUAGUAGAUGGACCUGCGUUGUAUUAGCUAGUUGGUAAGGUAAGAGCUUACCAAGGCGACGAUACAUAGCCGACCUGAGAGGGUGAUCGGCCACACUGGGACUGAGACACGGCCCAGACUCCUACGGGAGGCAGCAGUAGGGAAUCUUCGGCAAUGGACGAAAGUCUGACCGAGCAACGCCGCGUGAGUGAAGAAGGUUUUCGGAUCGUAAAGCUCUGUUGUAAGUCAAGAACGUGUGUGAGAGGGAAAGUUCACA